RNAcentral lists this long non-coding RNA (1150 nucleotides) under Pongo abelii (Sumatran orangutan). RNAcentral describes it as "lincRNA". The record is from RNAcentral. Lineage: Eukaryota; Metazoa; Chordata; Mammalia; Primates; Hominidae.
CCUGUACAUUGGGAAAGGUGCCGAAGACAUGAACUUUGGUCUUCUCUGCAAUCCCUCUGGAGCAUUCAGUGACAACGUCGACUUUGAAGUUGCACUGACCUGGCCAGCCCUGCCACUUACCAGGUUGGGCUGUGGCUUGCCUUUUCACUUCUUGUGUCCUGUUUAAGAAAUAUCUGCUAUCCCAAGAUUGCAAACUCCUAGAGAAGGGCUCAACAGUGAGUGUUGAGGCUGCACAGAGGAGGAAGGUAGCACAAUGAUGGAAGGCUUCCUAAAGAGGCUCUUGAGUUUCUGCUUUCAAGUGACCCUCAGAAAUGCCCCCAUUCACUGCAGAGGUUCUGUUUCUCCUUGUUUUGUUCCGACUUUAUGGCAGAACUAGGUUAAUGAGUUAAUUACUAUGAGUUAUCACUUGGAUUUGAAGAACCAUCAUUUCUAGGCUUUGCUGCUCAGAGUGGGUUUGCCCUCAGGGGAAGCUAUCUAACCAGAGCCUAACCCACUAGGGUUUUAUCAGAACCUAACUGGCCUGAGGAAAAGAAAUAUUCAACUCCAGCAAGCUCCAGCCUUCCAAACGGAGGAGGAGAAAACCCAAAUCCAGCCCACUUCAGCUAUCUUGUCCCACAUAAAGGGGGAGUGGAAGAAACGUGAGAAGCAGGCAUGAAGUUCACAGUCCGGAGGUACAGACACAUCAGAGUUCAGUAUCUGAUGAAUUAGAUGCAAAAUCCUCAACAAAGUAUUAGCAAAUUGAAUUCAACAAUGUAUGAAAAUUAUUACAUGCCAUGACUAAUUGGAAUUUAUCUCAGGUAUACAAGCCAUGCUGAACAUCUGAAAAUCAAUUCAUGUGAUCCAUCACAUUAGCAGAUUCAAGAAAAAAAAAACCACAUUAUCAUAUCAGUAGAUGUAGAAAAAAAAAAUUAACAAAAUCCAGCACGCAUUCACAAUGAAAAUGCUCAGUAAAUUAGAAAUAGAAGGUAACUUCCUCAACUUGACAAGGAAUAUCUCUAAAAACCUACAACUAAAAUCAUACUUAAUGGUAAAAAACUAGAAGCCUUCCCAGUAAGAGUAAGAACAAGGCAAAGAUGUAUGCUCUCACCACUCCUUUUCAACAUCAUAUUGGAAGUCCUAGCUAGUGCAAUAAGCAAAAAAAAAAAAAAAA